Molecule: ribosomal RNA, 230 nt
Filed under: uncultured Alicycliphilus sp.
Lineage: Bacteria; Pseudomonadati; Pseudomonadota; Betaproteobacteria; Burkholderiales; Comamonadaceae
Description: partial 16S ribosomal RNA
Rfam family: Bacterial small subunit ribosomal RNA
Source: RNAcentral
AGAGAUGCAUUGGGUUUAAAGNGUGCGCAGGCGGUUUUGUAAGACAGAGGUGAAAUCCCCGGGCUCAACCUGGGAACUGCCUUUGUGACUGCAAGGCUGGAGUGCGGCAGAGGGGGAUGGAAUUCCGCGUGUAGCAGUGAAAUGCGUAGAUAUGCGGAGGAACACCGAUGGCGAAGGCAAUCCCCUGGGCCUGCACUGACGCUCAUGCACGAAAGCGUGGGGAGCAAACA